RNAcentral lists this ribosomal RNA (380 nucleotides) under uncultured eukaryote. RNAcentral's name for it is "partial 18S ribosomal RNA". It matches the Rfam family "Eukaryotic small subunit ribosomal RNA", at positions 592 to 976 of the family's 1831-position model. The record is from RNAcentral.
CAAUAGCGUAUAUUAAAGUUGUUGCGGUUAAAAAGCUCGUAGUUGGAUUUCUGCUUUGGACGACCGGUCCGCCCUGUGGGUUGGCAUCUGGAUCGGCCUGGGCAUCUUCUUGGGGAGCGUAGCUGCACUUGACUGUGUGGUGCGGUAUCCAGGACUUUUACCUUGAGGAAAUUAGAGUGUUUCAAGCAGGCGCACGCCUUGAAUACAUUAGCAUGGAAUAAUAAGAUAGGACCUCGGUUCUAUUUUGUCGGUUUCUAGAGCUGAGGUAAUGAUUAAUAGGGAUAGUUGGGGGCGUUCGUAUUUAACUGUCAGAGGUGAAAUUCUUGGAUUCGUUAAAGACGGACUACUGCGAAAGCAUUUGCCAAGGAUGUUUUCAUUGA